This 468-nucleotide ribosomal RNA is filed under the name uncultured bacterium. RNAcentral describes it as "partial 16S ribosomal RNA". It matches the Rfam family "Bacterial small subunit ribosomal RNA", at positions 28 to 507 of the family's 1533-position model. The record is from RNAcentral.
GACGAACGCUGGCGGCGUGCUUAACACAUGCAAGUCGAACGGAAAGGCCCUGCUUUUGUGGGGUGCUCGAGUGGCGAACGGGUGAGUAACACGUGAGUAACCUGCCCUUGACUUUGGGAUAACUUCAGGAAACUGGGGCUAAUACCGGCUAGGAGCUCCUGCUGCAUGGUGGGGGUUGGAAAGUUUCGGCGGUUGGGGAUGGACUCGCGGCUUAUCAGCUUGUUGGUGGGGUAGUGGCUUACCAAGGCUUUGACGGGUAGCCGGCCUGGGAGGGUGACCGGCCACACUGGGACGGGGAUACGGCCCAGACUACUACGGGAGGCAGAAGUGGGGAAGAGUGCACAAUGGGCGGAAGCCUGAUGCAGCAACGCCGCGUGCGGGAUGACGGCCUUCGGGUUGUAAACCGCUUUCGCCUGUGACGAAGCGUGAGUGACGGUAAUGGGUAAAGAAGCACCGGCUAACUACGUG